This 813-nucleotide ribosomal RNA is filed under the name uncultured bacterium. RNAcentral's name for it is "bacterial SSU rRNA". It matches the Rfam family "Bacterial small subunit ribosomal RNA", at positions 98 to 926 of the family's 1533-position model. The record is from RNAcentral.
GCGAACGGGUGCGUAACACGUGAGUAACCUGCCCCGAAGACCGGGAUAACAGCGGGAAACCGCUGCUAAUACCGGAUAUCCCCACCGGACCGCAUGGUCUGGUGAGGAAAUGGAUUCUGCUUCGGGAGGGGCUCGCGGCCUAUCAGCUUGUUGGUGGGGUGACGGCCCACCAAGGCGACGACGGGUAGCUGGUCUGAGAGGACGAUCAGCCACACUGGGACUGAGACACGGCCCAGACUCCUACGGGAGGCAGCAGUGGGGAAUCUUGCGCAAUGGGCGAAAGCCUGACGCAGCAACGCCGCGCGAGGGAUGACGGCCUUCGGGUUGUAAACCUCUUUCGAGCAGGGACGAUGAUGACGGUACCUGCAGAAGAAGCUCCGGCCAACUACGUGCCAGCAGCCGCGGUAAUACGUAGGGAGCGAGCGUUGUCCGGAAUCAUUGGGCGUAAAGAGCUCGUAGGCGGUUCGGUAAGUCGGAUGUGAAACCCCCAGGCUCAACCUGGGGCCGCCAUCCGAUACUGCCGUGACUUGAGUCCGGUAGGGGCCCACGGAACUCCUGGUGUAGCGGUGAAAUGCGCAGAUAUCAGGAAGAACACCGAUGGCGAAGGCAGUGGGCUGGGCCGGUACUGACGCUGAGGAGCGAAAGCGUGGGGAGCGAACAGGAUUAGAUACCCUGGUAGUCCACGCCGUAAACGUUGGGCACUAGGUGUGGGACCUUUCAACGGGUUCCGUGCCGUAGCUAACGCAUUAAGUGCCCCGCCUGGGGAGUACGGCCGCAAGGCUAAAACUCAAGGGAAUUGACGGGGGCCCGCAC